RNAcentral lists this ribosomal RNA (208 nucleotides) under uncultured bacterium. RNAcentral describes it as "partial 16S ribosomal RNA". It matches the Rfam family "Bacterial small subunit ribosomal RNA", at positions 568 to 775 of the family's 1533-position model. The record is from RNAcentral.
CGCGUAGGCGGCAAGGCAAGUCAGAUGUGAAAUCCCCGGGCUCAACCUGGGAAUUGCAUCUGAAACUGCAGUGCUUGAGUCCUGGAGGGGAUAGUGGAAUUCCCAGUGUAGCGGUGAAAUGCGUAGAUAUUGGGAGGAACACCUGCGGCGAAGGCGGCUACCUGGACAGUGACUGACGCUGAUGCGCGAAAGCCAGGGGAGCGAACGG